GGAUCUAUCUGAUUAUUCAAUAAACACGUGUACUUUCUUUUCCCUUACCAAACCACGUGUACUAUUUUAGAUGCACAGUUCAUCUCUCCACUUCUCUAAUUCUCUCUUUCACUGCUCAGCAAUUCUCUUCUGCUUCCCCUAGUUCAAGGUGUCAUCUUUAUUUGGGGGAGUUUCUCAAUUUUUACGCUUCCAAUUAAUAAGGUGAAUAGGUUCCUUGCACAAGAUUAUUGGGAGGGGAAUUGGUACUCAAAAAUAAAACAAGAUUACCAUAUUGUAAUUGAUACUUCCUAUUCCAAUUGUGGGAAUUUAGCUUUGGCAUGCAAUGUGUUUGAUUUAACUCCCGACAGAAAUGAACAAUCAACACCAUCAAAGAAAAUAUAAAAAGCCAACUCCCUUAAUUAAGCAUUUACCGUUCAAAAUGCUUGGUUAGCCAAAGCUUCUGCUAUGAAGUUUAUUACCAUCUGAAUUCUUCGGUUACAACCUUAGUGAACUUGUGGAGCUUCGAAAAGGUUUGGAUAAUCACUAUUCCAGAGGAGCUCAACUCUAUCCAGAUAUGACAAUAAAAUUGAAAUAAUGGUGUAAUUAUUAAUGGGGCAAGUCCUUGGUGGUAAUCAUAUAAGAAAGACCUCAGUUUACGAUUUGCAACAAAAUGCUUAUUAUAUCUUUAUGUUCUUUGUAUUAUAGUGAAUUUAUAACAAUUCAUUUUUAUCUUCAUGCUCUUUGUAUUACAGUUGAUUUAUAAGAAUUCAGAGAGUUUGAUAAACAAAUUUCUAAUAUGGCGGUUUUGUUGUUUUUAAACUCUGGAUGCUAUA
Non-coding RNA from Nicotiana tabacum (common tobacco), 812 nucleotides. The record is from RefSeq and is a predicted model, not a curated record. Lineage: Eukaryota; Viridiplantae; Streptophyta; Magnoliopsida; Solanales; Solanaceae.